RNAcentral lists this ribosomal RNA (903 nucleotides) under Gloeophyllum odoratum. RNAcentral's name for it is "partial 25S ribosomal RNA". It matches the Rfam family "Eukaryotic large subunit ribosomal RNA", at positions 56 to 930 of the family's 3401-position model. The record is from RNAcentral. Lineage: Eukaryota; Fungi; Basidiomycota; Agaricomycetes; Gloeophyllales; Gloeophyllaceae.
NNNNNNNNNNGGAUUCCCCUAGUAACUGCGAGUGAAGCGGGAAAAGCUCAAAUUUAAAAUCUGGCGGUCUUUGGGCUGUCCGAGUUGUAUYCUGGAGAAGCGCUUUCCGCGCCGGACCGUGUAUAAGUCUCUUGGAAUGGAGCGUCACAGAGGGUGAGAAUCCCGUCUUUGACACGGACUGCCGGUGCUUUGGUGAUGCGCUCUCAAAGAGUCGAGUUGUUUGGGAAUGCAGCUCAAAAUGGGUGGUGAAUUCCAUCUAAAGCUAAAUAUUGGCGAGAGACCGAUAGCGAACAAGUACCGUGAGGGAAAGAUGAAAAGCACUUUGAAAAGAGAGUCAAACAGUACGUGAAAUUGUUGAAAGGGAAACGCUUGAAGUCAGUCGCGUGGGCCGGAACUCAACCUCACUUCUGAGGGGUGCACUUUCCGAGUCAACGGGCCAACGUCGAUUUUGGCUGCCGGACAAGGAUUGGGGGAAUGUGGCACUUGCUUGCGGGUGUGUUAUAACCUCCGGUCGGAUACGGCGGAUCGGGAUCGAGGACCGCGGUGGCUUCUCGGGGCUGCUUAGGAUGUUGGCGUAAUGGCUUUAAACGACCCGUCUUGAAACACGGACCAAGGAGUCUAACGUGCAUGCGAGUGUUUGGGUGGAAAACCCGGGCGCGUAAUGAAAGUGAAAGUUGAGACCUCUGUCGCGGAGGGCAUCGACGCCCGGACCUGAUCUUCGGUGACGGAUUUGCGGUAGAGCAUGUGCGUUGGGACCCGAAAGAUGGUGAACUAUGCCUGAAUAGGGUGAAGCCAGAGGAAACUCUGGUGGAGGCUCGUAGCGAUUCUGACGUGCAAAUCGAUCGUCAAAUUUGGGUAUAGGGGCGAAAGACUNNNNNNNNNNNNNNNNNNNNNNNNNNNNNN